GCCGAAGUAGCUCAAAGGUAGAGCAACUGUUUUGUAAACAGUAGGUUGUCGGUUCGAUUCCGACCUUCGGCU
Non-coding RNA from Candidatus Portnoybacteria bacterium RBG_19FT_COMBO_36_7, 72 nucleotides. The record is from Rfam. Lineage: Bacteria; Candidatus Portnoyibacteriota.